GACGAACGCUGGCGGCGUGCUUAACACAUGCAAGUCGAACGGAAAGGCCCUGCUCUUGUGGGUUGCUCGAUUGGCGAACGGGUGUGUAACACGUGAGUAUCCUGCCCCUGACUUUGGGAUAACUUCAGGAAACUGGGGCUAAUACCCCAUAUGAGCUCCUGCUGCAUGGUGGGGGUUGGAAAGUUUCGGCGGUUGGGGAUGGACUCGCGGCUUACCAGCUUGUUGGGCGGGUAGUGGCUUACCAAGGCUUUGACGGGUAGCCGGCCUGAGAGCGUGGCCGGCCACAUUGGGACUGAGAUACGGCCCAGACGCCUACGGGAGGCAGCAGUGGGGAAUAUUGCACAAUGGGCGGAAGCCUGAUGCAGCAACGCCGCGUGCGGGAUGACGGCCUUCGGGUUAUAAACCGCUUUCGACGGAGACGAAGCGUGAGUGACGGUAAUGGGUAAAGAAGCACCGGCUAACUACGUG
Molecule: ribosomal RNA, 468 nt
Filed under: uncultured bacterium
Lineage: Bacteria
Description: partial 16S ribosomal RNA
Rfam family: Bacterial small subunit ribosomal RNA
Source: RNAcentral